CCUACGGGAGGCAGCAGUGAGGAAUAUUGGUCAAUGGACGGAAGUCUGAACCAGCCAUGCCGCGUGCAGGAAGACGGCUCUAUGAGUUGUAAACUGCUUUUGUACAAGGGUAAACCUGAAUACGUGUAUUCAGCUGAAAGUACUGUACGAAUAAGGAUCGGCUAACUCCGUGCCAGCAGCCGCGGUAAUACGGAGGAUCCAAGCGUUAUCCGGAUUUAUUGGGUUUAAAGGGUGCGUAGGCGGAUUGAUAAGUUAGAGGUGAAAUGUCCGAGCUUAACUCGGGAACUGCCUCUAAUACUGUUGGUCUAGAGAGUAGAUGCGGUAGGCGGAAUGUAUGGUGUAGCGGUGAAAUGCUUAGAGAUCAUACAGAACACCGAUUGCGAAGGCAGCUUACCAAUCUAUAUCUGACGUUGAGGCACGAAAGCGUGGGUAUCGAACAGGAUUAGAUACCCGAGUAGUC
Molecule: ribosomal RNA, 460 nt
Filed under: uncultured bacterium
Lineage: Bacteria
Description: partial 16S ribosomal RNA
Rfam family: Bacterial small subunit ribosomal RNA
Source: RNAcentral